CCUAACGUUUUGGAAACGACAGACCUUGAACGUCUGUAACAGAUGUUCGAAUCA
Molecule: transfer RNA, 54 nt
Filed under: Ethnodrilus zajonci
Lineage: Eukaryota; Metazoa; Annelida; Clitellata; Crassiclitellata; Lumbricidae
Description: partial tRNA-Ser
Source: RNAcentral